This 480-nucleotide ribosomal RNA is filed under the name uncultured bacterium. RNAcentral's name for it is "partial 16S ribosomal RNA". It matches the Rfam family "Bacterial small subunit ribosomal RNA", at positions 28 to 523 of the family's 1533-position model. The record is from RNAcentral.
GACGAACGCUGGCGGCGUGCUUAACACAUGCAAGUCGAACGAUGAAGUUCCUUCGGGAAUGGAUUAGUGGCGAACGGGUGAGAAACACGUGAGAAACCUGCCUUUCAUUUUGGGAUAACUCCGGGAAACCGGAGCUAACACCGAAUACUCCGUCUCGGCGGCAUCGCUGAGCCGGGAAAAAAUUUUGAUGAAAGAUGGUCUCGCGGCCUAUCAGCUAGUUGGUGAGGUAAUGGCCCACCAAGGCGACGACGGGUAGCCGGCCUGAGAGGGCGACCGGCCACACUGGGACUGAGACACGGCCCAGACUCCUACGGGAGGCAGCAGUGGGGAAUAUCGGGCAAUGGGCGCAAGCCUGACCCAGCGACGCCGCGUGAGGGAUGAAGGCCUUCGGGUUGUAAACCUCUUUCAGUAGGGAAGAAGCGAAAGUGACGGUACCUAAAGAAGAAGCACCGGCUAACUAUGUGCCAGCCGCCGCGGUAA